Long non-coding RNA from Cyprinodon tularosa, 701 nucleotides. RefSeq lists it as uncharacterized. NCBI's taxonomy places the organism in Eukaryota, Metazoa, Chordata, Actinopteri, Cyprinodontiformes, Cyprinodontidae. The transcript is spliced from 3 exons. The record is from RefSeq and is a predicted model, not a curated record.
UCAUUUAGGAGAAACAUGGGUGAAAAGGUGCCACUGAUAGAUGAGACUAUAAUCUUGGUCUUGGGAAAACAAAUGCUGUGCAUUACCUUAACUCAACCUUUCUUCAACCAGGAUGGUGAAGCAGAAAAAGAAGCACUAAUAUCAUAAUGGUGCCCUCUCCUGGUUUGGGCCUCCUCGCACACCUGCGGCUCGUUGGGUCAUCACCAGAGGAGUAUUUGAGCAGUGGACUGUCACUACCUCGACGCCAGAGUGUUUGCCAGUAUUAAGUACUCUAGCCAAACUGAGAUUAGCUGAGUCUAAUUAUUGCCUUGUCUCUCUGAGUCUAAGCUUUGCCUUUGUUCUCCGGUAGGAGGUCUUCCUGAUCCAUUGGAUAAGCUUGGACCGUCUACCCCCCAUGGAAGGAAUUAUUUGAGUCACAUUGAGCAAGGGGAAACCUCCACCAGAUCCGUUAAAGUCUGCUUCAGGAAAAACCCGGUGACAGUCCGCUCCAUUGCUCCUCUGGACCCAACGCUAGUCUGCCUGUCCACCCUCCAACGAGUUCAUUAAUCUCUGGAUAAAACCCCACAAACUGGAUCCUAAGGAAAACCAAGAGCCCCCCAAAUAUUCCCGGUUCCGGUUCACCAGUCCGCUGAGGUUCAACUGAGUUUACCCUGCUGUAUAACCUCUCACUCUGUUUUUGUUAACCUACAACUAAACCAGUU